Molecule: ribosomal RNA, 215 nt
Filed under: uncultured bacterium
Lineage: Bacteria
Description: partial 16S ribosomal RNA
Rfam family: Bacterial small subunit ribosomal RNA
Source: RNAcentral
UCCCAGUUCGGAUUGUAGUCUGCAACCCGACUACAUGAAGCUGGAAUCGCUAGUAAUCGCGAAUCAGAAUGUCGCGGUGAAUACGUUCCCGGGUCUUGUACACACCGCCCGUCACACCAUGGGAGUCGGAAAUGCCCGAAGUCAGUGACCCAACCGUAAGGAGGGAGCUGCCGAAGGUGGAGCCGGUAACUGGGGUGAAGUCGUAACAAGGUAUC